CCGUAGCCCAAGAGAUCGGGAUAACACCUGGAAACAGAUGCUAAUACCGGAUAACAACAGAUGAUGCCUAUCAACUGUUUAAAAGAUGGUUCUGCUAUCACUCUUGGAUGGACCUGCGGUGCAUUAGCUAGUUGGUAGGGUAACGGCCUACCAAGGCGAUGAUGCAUAGCCGAGUUGAGAGACUGAUCGGCCACAUUGGGACUGAGACACGGCCCAAACUCCUACGGGAGCAGCAGAU
Molecule: ribosomal RNA, 238 nt
Filed under: uncultured Lactobacillus sp.
Lineage: Bacteria; Bacillati; Bacillota; Bacilli; Lactobacillales; Lactobacillaceae
Description: partial 16S ribosomal RNA
Rfam family: Bacterial small subunit ribosomal RNA
Source: RNAcentral